Macrobrachium nipponense is the source of this 911-nucleotide long non-coding RNA. RefSeq lists it as uncharacterized. The record is from RefSeq and is a predicted model, not a curated record. The transcript is spliced from 3 exons. NCBI's taxonomy places the organism in Eukaryota, Metazoa, Arthropoda, Malacostraca, Decapoda, Palaemonidae.
UCAUCGAUACGUUAAUUCACUUCUCUCUAGUCAUGUUAUUUGCUCUUUAAAAGUUGAAUGCUUGUUUCUGAAUGUGACGUCACAAAACAAAGAAACCCUCUGUUAUUGACGUUGACAGUUGACAUGACGACCAUUAUUGUAGGAAGGUACAGCGUUGUGUUUCGUACAUAUCCAGAAAUCGGACUUAAGAGAAGCAUAUCUAAUACAAUUUUCAAGAAGUACGAUAAAUCGGGAUUUGCCGAGUGUAAGAUCGUCAAACAAGUUUUCAUUACCAUAACAGCAAAAUUAUGAUUUCAAAUGAUUUAAGACCAUAAUCUUUCCACUGAACGCUCUCGCAAAAACACCUGGAGACUAUUCAAGUCCUACCUACUAUGAUAUAGGCUAGGUAGGCUACUACCUACAGCUGUAAGGCAUGGCUGUGACUUCAUUACAUUGCAGCGUGGCAAGAACCAAAUUUUUACCCAACACAUUUUAACAAUCUACUGACGAGACCAUCUUUUGCUCCUACACUUUGUGAGUUACUGGGCGGUUCUUCUUCAUCUGUAGUGGUUGGAUGUAAACUGUUUUGACUUGCUUCCAAAGGCAUGGUUGACCGUUGAUCUUCAAGCCGACCUGACUGGAAUCUCAUGAUAAGGGAGAAAAAGUCAUCAUCUGGUACAGUUGGGGCAGAGUGAGUUAUGGCACCUUCAUUUGGAAGGAAACUUCGCUGAUCUUCUAUGCGCGAUCCCUGAAAAAUGACAAUGCAAGUUGAAUUUUGCAUAACCUUAUUCUGAUAUCUCAUGAAAUGUCAUGUAACGGACAGCUAUUUCUGUUGUCUCUAAAAUAUGCUCUAUUUUUAGCAAUCAGUUUACACAAAAUUGUACCUUGAACUCGAGAUUUUGUAACUGCAGUAAAGAGAGUACAGCAGGUAA